Molecule: long non-coding RNA, 422 nt
Organism: Oncorhynchus tshawytscha (Chinook salmon)
Lineage: Eukaryota; Metazoa; Chordata; Actinopteri; Salmoniformes; Salmonidae
Source: Ensembl
GAAGGACAUCAGUAAUAGAUGGUUGAGGGUAGAGGAAGGACAUCAGUAAUAGAUGGUUGAGGGUAGAGGAAGGACAUCAGUAAUAUAUGGUUGAGGGUAGAGGAAGGACAUCAGUAAUAUAUGGGAGGGGUUGAGGGUAGAGGAAGGACAUCAGUAACAGAUAGGAGAGGUUGAGGAUAGAGGAAGGACAUCAGUAAUAGAUGGUUGAGGUUGAGGCUAGAGGAAGGACAUCAGAAAUAGAUGGUUGAGGUUGAGGCUAGAGGAAGGACAUCAGUAAUAGAUGGUUGAGGGUAGAGGAAGGACAUCAGUAAUAGAUGGUUGAGGAUAGAGGAAGGACAUCAGUAAUAGAUGGUUGAGGGUAGAGGAAGGACAUCAGUAAUAGAUGGUUGAGGGUAGAGGAAGGACAUCAGUAAUAGAUGGUU